AGUGAACGCUGGCGGUAGGCCUAACACAUGCAAGUCGAACGGCAGCACAGUAAGAGCUUGCUCUUACGGGUGGCGAGUGGCGGACGGGUGAGGAAUACAUCGGAAUCUUCUUUUUCGUGGGGGAUAACGUAGGGAAACUUACGCUAAUACCGCAUAUGACCUACGGGUGAAAGCAGGGGAUCUUCGCACCUUGCGCGUCUGAAUGAGCUGAUGUCGGAUUAGCUAGUUGGGGGGGUAAAGGCCCACCAAGGCGACGAUCCGUAGCUGAUCUGAGAGGAUGAUCAGCCACACUGGAACUGAGACACGGUCCAGACUCCUACGGGAGGCGGCAGUAGGGAAUAUUGGGCAAUGGGCGAAAGCCUGAUCCAGCCAUACCGCGUGGGUGAAGAAGGCCUUCGGAUUGUAAAGCCCUUUUGUUGGGAAAGAAAAGCAGCAGGUUAAUACCCCGCUGUUCUGACGGUACCCAAAGAAUAAGCACCGGCUAACUUCGUG
Molecule: ribosomal RNA, 492 nt
Filed under: uncultured bacterium
Lineage: Bacteria
Description: partial 16S ribosomal RNA
Rfam family: Bacterial small subunit ribosomal RNA
Source: RNAcentral